This 863-nucleotide ribosomal RNA is filed under the name uncultured bacterium. RNAcentral's name for it is "bacterial SSU rRNA". It matches the Rfam family "Bacterial small subunit ribosomal RNA", at positions 66 to 923 of the family's 1533-position model. The record is from RNAcentral.
GUAGCAUGAUCUAGAUGCUAGAUUGAUGGCGAGUGGCGAACGGGUGAGUAAUACAUCGGAACGUGCCCUGUAGUGGGGGAUAACUAGUCGAAAGAUUAGCUAAUACCGCAUACGACCUGAGGGUGAAAGUGGGGGACCGCAAGGCCUCAUGCUAUAGGAGCGGCCGAUGUCUGAUUAGCUAGUUGGUGAGGUAAAGGCUCACCAAGGCGACGAUCAGUAGCUGGUCUGAGAGGACGAUCAGCCACACUGGGACUGAGACACGGCCCAGACUCCUACGGGAGGCAGCAGUGGGGAAUUUUGGACAAUGGGCGAAAGCCUGAUCCAGCAAUGCCGCGUGUGUGAAGAAGGCCUUCGGGUUGUAAAGCACUUUUGUCCGGAAAGAAAUGGCUCUGGUUAAUACCUGGGGUCGAUGACGGUACCGGAAGAAUAAGGACCGGCUAACUACGUGCCAGCAGCCGCGGUAAUACGUAGGGUCCAAGCGUUAAUCGGAAUUACUGGGCGUAAAGCGUGCGCAGGCGGUUGUGCAAGACCGAUGUGAAAUCCCCGAGCUUAACUUGGGAAUUGCAUUGGUGACUGCACGGCUAGAGUGUGUCAGAGGGGGGUAGAAUUCCACGUGUAGCAGUGAAAUGCGCAGAGAUGUGGAGGAAUACCGAUGGCGAAGGCAGCCCCCUGGGAUAACACUGACGCUCAUGCACGAAAGCGUGGGGAGCAAACAGGAUUAGAUACCCUGGUAGUCCACGCCCUAAACGAUGUCAACUAGUUGUUGGGGAUUCAUUUCCUUAGUAACGUAGCUAACGCGUGAAGUUGACCGCCUGGGGAGUACGGUCGCAAGAUUAAAACUCAAAGGAAUUGACGGAAGGGCG